This 239-nucleotide ribosomal RNA is filed under the name uncultured bacterium. Its description in RNAcentral is "partial 16S ribosomal RNA". It matches the Rfam family "Bacterial small subunit ribosomal RNA", at positions 118 to 354 of the family's 1533-position model. The record is from RNAcentral.
UGAGGAAUAUGACCUUCGGCGGGGGAGUAGCCGGCCCAACGGCCGGGUAAUACCGCGUACGACCUUUUGGGGACAUCCCCGAUUGGUGAAAGCAGCAAUGCGCCGAUGGAGUGCCUCGCGGCCUAUCAGCUAGUUGGUGAGGUAAUAGCUCACCAAGGCGAUGACGGGUAGCCGGCCUGAGAGGGUGACCGGCCACACUGGGACUGAGACACGGCCCAGACUCCUACGGGAGCAGCAGG